AUAUAUAUUCUGUAGUCAUCUAAGUCAAUCAAACAGUAAAUCAAACAGUGUAGCAGUUGACAAUAUAACUGUGUCAUUAUGUUUGUCUGUGUUUCUUAGCUGCCGAGCCAUCGGAUCAGGAGGUGCUGUCUAUCUGCGUGGGUUUUGACCAAGCAUUAACAGGAUACACUUUAAAGUGGUAAGCAGUUCCUACUGCUCCCACCCCCACCGCACCCCCUGCUGUGCUAGCUCCUACUGCUCCCACUCCCACCGCGCCCCC
This is a long non-coding RNA of Salvelinus namaycush (lake trout), 259 nucleotides long. RefSeq lists it as uncharacterized. The transcript has 3 exons. NCBI's taxonomy places the organism in Eukaryota, Metazoa, Chordata, Actinopteri, Salmoniformes, Salmonidae. The record is from RefSeq and is a predicted model, not a curated record.